RNAcentral lists this long non-coding RNA (1663 nucleotides) under Felis catus (domestic cat). RNAcentral's name for it is "lncRNA (ENSFCAG00000044150.2)". Lineage: Eukaryota; Metazoa; Chordata; Mammalia; Carnivora; Felidae. The record is from RNAcentral.
GUUUUCUUAAGUGGUCUACAUCAUGUUGUGCAAUUUAAAUAUAUACAAUUUAUGCAAAUAAAAGAGAACCAUUCACUUUAAAUAGACUAUUCUGAGCACUCUUGUACUCAUGCAGUAGUUGUAGCCAAGGAUCCCAGUUGGAGAAUAGCUCUGCAGAAACCCUCUUAAGAAUAAAAACCUGUCUCCCUGGCCGCUGACAUGGAAUGUAAGCGUAGAAAAGUAGGUAGGUCCCCUGAACUGAGCUCCUUCACAGAGUUCUCCUGCACCCGUGGGGACCACAGGUGAGUCUACACUGCCUAAUCCUAGGAUCCACAUCUGGGAGAACAGACCAAGUUAAUUUCACCCAGGACAACUGACUUUUCUCUUUAUUAAUUCCUUAUUUAGCUGAAGUAUAAAUAUUAUUAAACAUUUGCUUAUGAACUGCCAGAGCACCAUGCUGUUCAACAGAUGAGCUGCUACGACUCCCCUGUCUUAAUCCAGCCCAGAUCUCAGUGGAAACCUAACACCACUCUAGUGACCCUGGAACUGCACCAGUGCCUCACAUCACCAAAUAAGCCUGGAUCCCGAAACCCAGCUAGCAAGAAGCUGUUGACUGGGGAGACAGGUCAACUUCCAAGUGUCAUUCAGCCAGGAGUCUUCCCACCUACAGAAACCAGCAACUAAAGGAACUAUUCCACAUUGGACUCCCAUUGCCUCUCUACUUUAUUCAUGUUUAAUGCAAUUUGUGUCUGAUUGAACCCGUACACCUUGUGCCUGCCCUGGAUUCAUCCUUCUCCAGAAGCACUUGCCACUGGGUCAACUCUUCCAGGACUGAUCCUGUUAAAGUGAGUGAGACUUCGUCAGAACGGGGCUUCUCUUGGCCUGUUUCCUGGGGAACAGGAUACAUUGGCUUCAGAGAAUUGACAGUGUGCAAGUGUUGCGAUAAAUGUGGGAGUGGGGUAAAAUAGAUCUUACAGGAAGCUCAAAGAAACUGAGCUACUCUAAGCCAGUCGCAGAGUGGUGUUGCUUCAAAAUUAUAGGGAUUGACUUUCAAAAUUGUUGAAGAGCAAUUGAUUUUUAUUAUGAAUUUUAUUGGAGAGGCGGCAUAAAAAUUUCUAAAAAUUUGCAGAGUUCUUCCCAGAGGAAAACUUCCUAAUGCUCCCUUGAAGCCAUUUUCUCACUGCAGCUGUUCCUAUUCAUUCCAUCCCCCCACCCCAUCCACCAGGCACAGCUCCUUCCCCCUAGUUAUACACUCCCAGUCACCAACUCCUCUGAAGGUCUCAGGCAAUAUGCCCUCCAGGAACCUCUCCACCCAGUUCUUUCACACCUCCUCUCCCAUAAAUAAUAGCCCCUGAGAGGUACAGUCCCUUUCUACUUGGUCUUAUUUGGUUUUGCUAAGAGUAGCCAGUUAGGAAUUCUGGUUCAUCCUAGAAAAAAAUACUUGUUGAUCACCUAUCGUACCCAGCUGUAGAUUCAUUACACAUAGAAAUUAGGUUGGGGUGGAAGGAGACCACUGUGGCUUACCUGGGAUCAAUAUCUGUAUGAGUUUUGUCCAGUAGAAUUUACUGAUAGUUCAAAGGAUAUCACUGUGAAUUGAAUACAUUUCUUGAAAGAGCAUUUAAAAAAAAAGUUAUAAGAAGAAUUUUUUUUUCAUUUUGUUUUGUUUUGGGAGAUUUAAAUUUUA